Loxodonta africana (African savanna elephant) is the source of this 92-nucleotide microRNA precursor. It matches the Rfam family "mir-335 microRNA precursor family". Lineage: Eukaryota; Metazoa; Chordata; Mammalia; Proboscidea; Elephantidae. The record is from Rfam.
UUUUGGGCGGGGGUCAAGAGCAAUAACGGAGAAUGUCUGUGAUGAACCAUUUUUCAUUAUUGCUCCUGACCUCCUCUCAUUUGCUCCCCGCG